RNAcentral lists this unclassified non-coding RNA (1341 nucleotides) under Hevea brasiliensis (rubber tree). Lineage: Eukaryota; Viridiplantae; Streptophyta; Magnoliopsida; Malpighiales; Euphorbiaceae. The record is from RNAcentral.
AAUCCUAGGAUUCAGAAAUUGAAACUUAAGAAAAGCGAUAAGCAAUGGCAAAGCUACUGAUACAACCGAGGAAAAAGGUCUCCGAGACUACGCUUCGUAGGAACAAAUGUUCUCAAAUCCCAUGUAUUCAUGGUUUUCAAUCUUCACUAUCAUGUUUGCUAUACCAACCCCACCUAGUGAUAUUGCACUCACAAAUAUUGUGAAUGACAGAAUGAAGAUGAUUAGAGAUGCUCUCCCUAGUAUACUGAUAAUCUUUCUUACCACGUGCUGCCCUAUGAAGGCCGCGACAGUUGCCACAGCGACAAAGUAUAGAGCAUAAGGAACUGGAAAACGUUUCAAGAGAUAAUACUCUAUGACAGACAUAGAUGCAGAAAAUGUCAUGGCAAAUGUAGCUGUGGCACUUGACACCUGUGGAGGGACUCCCAACUCCAGAAAAAGUGGUCCCAAAAUGAAUCCUCCACCAAGACCAAGCAGCCCACCAACCACACCAGCCAAUACGCCACAGCAACAAUAAAGAACCAGCUGGUGUACUUUCCAAUUUGUGCCUGCCUCUCCCUUUGAUGCUAUCUUCCUCCGCCCUUUGUACAAGCUAACCGCCUGAUAUGAAGAAACCCCAAGAGCAACUGGAAUCUGCAAUAGAUUGCAAACCCAAUAUGCCACUGAACAAGUUGUUGUAUUAUUCUUGGUAAUCUCUAAUGUGAGGAUAAUCAACCACACAGCGAAGAGAAUUCCAAGUUCCUUCCAUUGAACAUUCUCAAGAACAGAAACCUCUUCUCUUUUAGACUCAUUGGAUUCUGGUCUUGCACCAUUGCUGGGACCUCCAGGAAGAGGUUUGUAUUCCACUUCUUCACUACCAUCACCAUUUGAAGCCAAUCGUCUAGCUGCCUCCUUUUUUAUAAUAGUUUCUUUUUUCCAUGUUUCUACACCUUUGAAGAAAGCCUUAGUUGAUGUGCCUAAGAAGAGAAUAAUUAGCAGAACUGUGAUCAUCCAGUCAGCAAAAAUCACAUUGAAAGCAACACCAACGCUGAUUCCCAGCACCAGCACUGGUUGGAACAAGAGUGCCAAGUCAUAGUCAAUUAUGGGCAAAUCAAGUGUUGGAUGCCUAAGCUUUAAAUUAUAGUAAACUGUUGAAGCUGCUGCACCAGUAAUCAUACAUUUUGAUAUUGCAGUCGAUGAUUUUGCAUCAAACCCAAUAAUCAAGGUGAGCAUGGGAACAAAAAUACCACCCCCACCAACACCACCCACGCUUCCAAAUGCUGCUCCAAAGAAUCCAAUUAUGCUACCCACCACAAUUUGCCAACCAAAUUUCAUUUCAGGCCAAACAUGUGUAUAAUCCAAUUG